UUCCGGGGAGGGGCUUGCGCUCACGCACGCCUUUCCGUUGGGAAGGAAGUCCCGCCCCCAUUCUAGACCCCGCCCUUAAUUCGCUGCGCGGGGCGGCUUUCGCAGUCCAGGUACCGAGAGCGCGGACGGUGGGUGCAAUGGGCUGCGCAGAGAAAUCAGCUUCACGGCAGUUAAUCUUUUCUUCGAUGUGGGGAUCACCAGACCAUCUGGGAAAGCUUUCCCACGCACUGUCUCUAUGUCCGGUGACUUUGGGAAGUCCUAAAGGACAAUGGGGGAAUUCACCAAGCUUAGGUCGAGUGAGCCUCCCCACCACCCCGGAGCCAGCAUGGGACACAGCUUAACUCAUUUCUUGGAGGAACUUGCCAGUGUGUCCCCAAGAGCCUGGGUGGCAUAGUCUGUGCCCAACUGGUGCCUGAAGCCUACGGGGACUGCACUUCCUGUGCUCCGGACUUCCUCAUAGGUACUUUUCCAUCUGGCUGUUCAUUUGUAUCCUUUAAUAUCCUUUGUAAUAAAUCAGUAAUGGUGAGUAAA
Balaenoptera acutorostrata (minke whale) is the source of this 531-nucleotide long non-coding RNA. RefSeq lists it as uncharacterized. The record is from RefSeq and is a predicted model, not a curated record. The transcript has 2 exons. NCBI's taxonomy places the organism in Eukaryota, Metazoa, Chordata, Mammalia, Artiodactyla, Balaenopteridae.